This 154-nucleotide microRNA precursor is filed under the name Amborella trichopoda. RNAcentral's name for it is "MIR8565 microRNA precursor family". It matches the Rfam family "MIR8565 microRNA precursor family". The record is from Rfam by way of RNAcentral. Lineage: Eukaryota; Viridiplantae; Streptophyta; Magnoliopsida; Amborellales; Amborellaceae.
CCUACACCUAUGUGUGUAGGACUUCAAAGGAUCAUCAUUAAAUUUAGCACAGAUCCUUAGAAAAGUUAUCAUAUGAGUGUGAGACUUGACUUUUCUAGAUAUCUGUGUCAAAUUUAAUGGUAAUCCUUUGAAGUCCUGCACACAUGAGUGUGGG